Molecule: long non-coding RNA, 345 nt
Filed under: Spirodela polyrhiza (greater duckweed)
Lineage: Eukaryota; Viridiplantae; Streptophyta; Magnoliopsida; Alismatales; Araceae
Description: long non-coding RNA (SPOL_LNC000379)
Source: RNAcentral
GGCAAGUUAUUUUUCUUCAAAAUUAUGACAUGUCAAAAAAAUUCUCAAAAGUAUAUAUUUUUUAUAAUAUUGAAAAAUCAUUGGAAUUUUCAAUUAAUUUAGGUACCAAAUUCUAGCUCAUAAGAUGAGCUUUCUAGCCAAACUAUCAAUUUACUUUGAAGUUAUGUGAUGUCAUAAAUAUACUGGUCAAAUUUAUGUAACAUCCAAUUUAUUGGCAAAAAAAUAUUAAAAUUUACCUAAAAUGAAAUGUCACACUAGUCUAUUGAAUUGGAAAUGUUUGGCAUUGCUUAAAAAGCCAAACUAAUGACUAAUAAGGUCUCUCUAUUCUUAUCACACUCCCAAAAA